CAGCAGCCGCGGUAAUACGGAGGAUCCGAGCGUUAUCCGGAAUUAUUGGGUUUAAAGGGUGCGUAGGCGGAUAGAUAAGUCAGUGGUGAAAGACGGUGGCUCAACCAUCGCAGUGCCGUUGAUACUGUUUAUCUUGAAUAUGGAUGAGGUAGGCGGAAUGUGGCAAGUAGCGGUGAAAUGCAUAGAUAUGCCACAGAACACCGAUUGCGAAGGCAGCUUACCAAGGCAAAAUUGACGCUGAGGCACGAAAGCGUGGGAAUCGAACAGGAUUAGAUACCCCAGUAGUCCCUGUCUCUUAUAC
RNAcentral lists this ribosomal RNA (301 nucleotides) under uncultured bacterium. RNAcentral's name for it is "partial 16S ribosomal RNA". It matches the Rfam family "Bacterial small subunit ribosomal RNA", at positions 509 to 807 of the family's 1533-position model. The record is from RNAcentral.